GCUGCCAGCCACCAGUGCUCCAGGUAGCACGAACUUUCUUCAGCAUGGAAAGUGCAAAUGACGUGUGUGAAAUCCUCCCGGCGCCAAACAAAGAUUUCCCUGGCAGUCUGUCCACAUAACAAAGCCCUAUAGCAGAGACAUCCAAAGGAGAGGAGAAGGAUAGUGGUUAGUGGAGCAUCGAUGAGGAUUCAUCAAAGAACCAUAGUUACCACACAGGAUCUAUAGCAUGCUGUUUCCUAACCCUCCCAGACAAGACAGUCAUGUUUUGACAAAGAUUAAGCUUUGUUGUUGUUGUAGUCCCAGACCUGAAGAGCUCCGUGUAAGCUUGUCUCUCUC
Long non-coding RNA from Gopherus evgoodei (Goodes thornscrub tortoise), 336 nucleotides. RefSeq lists it as uncharacterized. The transcript has 4 exons. Lineage: Eukaryota; Metazoa; Chordata; Testudines; Testudinidae. The record is from RefSeq and is a predicted model, not a curated record.